GGGGUUAUAGCUCAGCUGGUAGAGCGCCUGCCUUGCACGCAGGAGGUCUGCGGUUCGAACCCGCAUAGCUCCACAA
Molecule: transfer RNA, 76 nt
Filed under: Candidatus Profftia tarda
Lineage: Bacteria; Pseudomonadati; Pseudomonadota; Gammaproteobacteria; Enterobacterales; Enterobacteriaceae
Description: tRNA-Ala
Rfam family: tRNA
About the family: Transfer RNA (tRNA) molecules are approximately 80 nucleotides in length. Their secondary structure includes four short double-helical elements and three loops (D, anti-codon, and T loops).
Source: RNAcentral